Molecule: ribosomal RNA, 429 nt
Filed under: Pseudomonadota bacterium
Lineage: Bacteria; Pseudomonadati; Pseudomonadota
Description: Proteobacteria bacterium partial 16S ribosomal RNA
Rfam family: Bacterial small subunit ribosomal RNA
Source: RNAcentral
UGGGGAAUAUUGGACAAUGGGCGAAAGCCUGAUCCAGCCAUGCCGCGUGUGUGAAGAAGGUCUUCGGAUUGUAAAGCACUUUACGUUGGGAGGAAGGGCAGUAAGCGAAUACCUUGCUGUUUUGACGUUACCGACAGAAUAAGCACCGGCUAACUCUGUGCCAGCAGCCGCGGUAAUACAGAGGGUGCAAGCGUUAAUCGGAAUUACUGGGCGUAAAGCGCGCGUAGGUGGUUCGUUAAGUUGAAUGUGAAAGCCCCGGGCUCAACCUGGGAACUGCAUCCAAAACUGGCGAGCUAGAGUAGGGCAGAGGGUGGUGGAAUUUCCUGUGUAGCGGUGAAAUGCGUAGAUAUAGGAAGGAACACCAGUGGCGAAGGCGACCACCUGGGCUCAUACUGACACUGAGGUGCGAAAGCGUGGGGAGCAAACAGG